GAUGAACGCUGACAGAAUGCUUAACCCAUGCGAGUCUUUGGCGAAGCUGUGCUUGCACAGCCUAGCCAAGGCGGACGGGUGAGUAACGCGUAAGGAACUUGCCCUGCAGUCAGGGAUAACAGACGGAAACGACUGAUAAGACCUGGUAAAGUCAGGCGGACUCAUGUCCAGCCUGAUGAAAAGAGAUGCUGCAGGAGAGCCUUGCGUCCUAUUAGCUUGUUGGUGGGGUAACGGCCCACCAAGGCGAUGAUAGGUAGCCGGCCUGAGAGGGUGGACGGCCACAAGGGGACUGAGAUACGGCCCUUACUCCUACGGGAGGCAGCAGUGGGGAAUAUUGGACAAUGGGGGCAACCCUGAUCCAGCAAUUCUGUGUGCACGAUGAAGGUUUUCGGAUUGUAAAGUGCUUUCAGCGGGGAAGAAAAAAAUGACGGUACCUGCAGAAGAAGCGACGGCUAAAUACGUG
RNAcentral lists this ribosomal RNA (463 nucleotides) under uncultured bacterium. RNAcentral describes it as "partial 16S ribosomal RNA". It matches the Rfam family "Bacterial small subunit ribosomal RNA", at positions 28 to 507 of the family's 1533-position model. The record is from RNAcentral.